AACGAACGCUGGCGGCAUGCCUAACACAUGCAAGUCGAACGAGACCUUCGGGUCUAGUGGCGCACGGGUGCGUAACGCGUGGGAAUCUGCCCUUCGGUUGGGAAUAACUGAGAGAAAUUUCAGCUAAUACCUUAUAAUGUCUUCGGACCAAAGAUUUAUCGCCGAGGGAUGGGCCCGCGUAGGAUUAGGUAGUUGGUGGGGUAAUGGCCUACCAAGCCGACGAUCCUUAGCUGGUCUGAGAGGAUGAUCAGCCACACUGGGACUGAGACACGGCCCAGACUCCUACGGGAGGCAGCAGUGGGGAAUAUUGGACAAUGGGCGAAAGCCUGAUCCAGCAAUGCCGCGUGAGUGAUGAAGGCCUUAGGGUUGUAAAGCUCUUUUACCCGGGAUGAUAAUGACAGUACCGGGAGAAUAAGCUCCGGCUAACUCCGU
RNAcentral lists this ribosomal RNA (432 nucleotides) under uncultured bacterium. RNAcentral's name for it is "partial 16S ribosomal RNA". It matches the Rfam family "Bacterial small subunit ribosomal RNA", at positions 29 to 506 of the family's 1533-position model. The record is from RNAcentral.